GGAGGGGUCGCAUAGUGGCCGAGUGCGUACGCUUGGAAAGCGUAUAUGCCGCAAGGUAUCGCGGGUUCGAAUCCCGCCCCCUCCG
Molecule: transfer RNA, 85 nt
Filed under: Candidatus Levyibacteriota bacterium
Lineage: Bacteria; Candidatus Levyibacteriota
Description: tRNA-Ser
Rfam family: tRNA
About the family: Transfer RNA (tRNA) molecules are approximately 80 nucleotides in length. Their secondary structure includes four short double-helical elements and three loops (D, anti-codon, and T loops). Further hydrogen bonds mediate the characteristic L-shaped molecular structure. tRNAs have two regions of fundamental functional importance: the anti-codon, which is responsible for specific mRNA codon recognition, and the 3' end, to which the tRNAs corresponding amino acid is attached (by aminoacyl-tRNA synthetases). tRNAs cope with the degeneracy of the genetic code in two manners: having more than one tRNA (with a specific anti-codon) for a particular amino acid; and 'wobble' base-pairing, i.e. permitting non-standard base-pairing at the 3rd anti-codon position.
Source: RNAcentral